Molecule: ribosomal RNA, 270 nt
Filed under: uncultured archaeon
Lineage: Archaea
Description: partial 16S ribosomal RNA
Rfam family: Archaeal small subunit ribosomal RNA
Source: RNAcentral
CUGCAGCUCAAGUGGUGACCGCUAUUAUUGGGCCUAAAACGUUCGUAGCCGGCUGAGUAAAUGCUUGGGUAAAUCGUGCCGCUUAACGGUACGAAUUCCGGGUAGACUACUCAGCUUGAGACCGGGAGAAGCUAGAGGUACUCCUGGGGUAGAGGUGAAAUUCUGUAAUCCUAGGGGGACCACCAGUGGCGAAGGCGUCUAGCUAGAACGGGUCUGACGGUGAGGGACGAAGCCCUGGGGCGCAAACCGGAUUAGAUACCCGAGUAGUCC